GGUGAGUCCCUUAUAAGAUCUUCCUUUCUUCUCUUUUCUUCUAUUAGUUAGCUUGGAUUGAGAGAAAGCUCCGCCCAAUAGCGCUUAGCCACCCAUGUGUGUGUAGACCGAAAUGGUCUCGCGAAGCCGGUCAACGGUAGCCUACCUAAGAGCAAGUCAAAACUACGAGAAGGGCGCGAGAAGUUUUGUGAAGGUAGAGAGAGAUUUUCAAAUCAGACUUCAAGUUGGUGUGCCGCGUGUUAAGAAGGCAGAGACCGCCCCAGGCUUCGCCCUAAUUCCCAUCUAAGGUUGAAUAAGAUUAGAUUAGUCUCGCAAAAUUCGUUCUCGAAUGAUUCAUCGAUGGAAUUAGGCCUAGUUGUAUGAAAAUUUCUUGUGAUUCCCCUCUUUCUUCGACGAAGGCAUACACGCAUCGAUAGGGAACCCAAAGAAGGGCUAGAAAAAGGAAAGCGGCACCUUAACUUAAUAGCUCCAUUUCUUGUUCCUGAGCGGAAGGUACGCUCAGCCCCUGAUACAUCGCUAUUUCUUAAUCCUUGCGUCCAGGGAUAAUGAGUCGGUUGGCUCUUAGAGUAUAGCCUCUCUCGGGGUUAGCGAUAAGAGUACACCGGCCCGUGUGGUAGCGGGCGAACUAAGGAUUUCGUGCUUGCAAGGAAGCGUGCAAGUGGGUGAACGCAUCACCAGCCAAGCUAGUCACUUGGAACAUAGGGGUAUUCAAUCCCCGAGCUUCCGGGCCUUGAGAACCGACUUCGGAUUUGCCCCUUAGAUAGUGAGUAGCAAAGAAGGGUAGGGUUUCAAGUUUAGGGUUUUCACUUCCACGUCCCAGCUCGUCGAAGCUACCGCCUAUCGAUUGAAAUUUCCCUCCUCAGCCGGAGGCGGAACCGGCUCCCCCUGAACCAUCCUCGGAAGAGUAAGGAAGGAGAAGGGAACGGGAGUUUCUCGCCUCCUAAGAGUAUAAAGAGGCGGAGUGUCACCCCAACAAACUAGACGCACGCAUCAAGGCGUUCUGCCAACGAGCGAAGGCGAUCGCUCAAGAAAGGGGAUUCAGCCCCGGCAAAUGCGAUGCAGUGAAAGACGCUGCGGACUAUGUGGCCGGUAACGUAAAAGAUAUGCCGGCAGCUAGCCAACUCCGCUUUCUAACGAGGUUAAGGCGUGACCUAGAAAACGGAAACAGCGAGACCUGGGGUGGGGUCUCAUCGAACGGGAAGUUCGAAGAUGGAGACCCGGUUCGGCACGAAAUAAGAAAGGUUUGGGGGCCCGUUGGUCAAAGGAAAGGGAAGGUCCUGCUUCCGGGACGGAGCCGUAUGACGCGAGAGUGUCACGUACGGUUCCUUUGAGAAGGGUGUGAUACCACCACCUAUCAGGCCCGACGAGCGGUCCACGGAGCUGCAUCCCUACUCACCUGGUCUAUGCACAUCGCUCUCUCCAGGAGGUUGGCCGCCUAUCCUAGAUCUUCCCAUUUCCAAGAAGAUCCCGGGCUCGAUCUGGUUUAGUAUCAAGGUGAUUCUUUUUCUGUUCCUAUAUAUAUGGGUCCGUGCAGCAUUUCCACGAUAUCGUUAUGAUCAAUUAAUGGGACUUGGCCGGAAAGUGUUCUUGCCUCUAUCAUUAGCUCGGGUAGUCCCCGUUUCUGGUGUUUUAGUCACCUUUCAAUGGCUCCCUUAAUUAUGUGCGAGGAAUUGCCCUAUUGAGUAAUGGUGGGAAGCGGGCUAGCCCCCGAAAAUGCCCCGCCCGUAAGUUCCUUUGUCGUUGGGGAAAAAAAAGAAAGAGAUUUAAAAAAGAAAAGAAAUUGCGUAAAUUCUGCCUUUUUUGAUCCCAUGCUUUCCGUUGGUCAACAACCAACUAAAUCUAUACCUCUUCACUACUCGUACAGGUUUGACGGAGUGAAGCUGUAUUGAGGGAAUCUUUUUGUCUCAAUCAAUCAAGAAUGCCCAAUAAAAGUAAAAGACCCUUCUCUUCUAUUUUUAAAGGAAGACUGUCUACUAUUUAUGAAGAUUUCGCCGCCAGUCCUUCUCAAUCGACCGAACCUUUUAACUACACGACUUUUAUUGAGAGUUGUGGGACCAAGGGCUUUCCAGUCCUUAAACCUCGCCCAGUUAUCGAGAAGAUAGAGGAGAAAUUAGGAGAGCCUAUUGUUAUCGAGACUGCCAAAAGAGGUUUCCCUGUACGAGGCCGUUACGAGAGGGAGAGCGACUAUAUACUACGCGCAUUGAAAUAUUAUUACAGUAUAGGGGGACGGGCGGAGGAUAUCUUUAAAAAGCCAAAGAAAGACGCGCGUACAGACGACCCCGACCAAACUGAACAAUUAGAAAUAAGUGACCAAACUGAACAAUUAGAUCUAAGUGGCCCACCUGAACAAGUGGAUCUAGUGAAAGAUCUCGUCUCCAGCCCACCUGAACAAUUAGAAAUAAGUGGCCCAUUUUCACAAUUAGAAAUAAGUGGCCCACCUGAACAAUUUGAGAUUGUGCCAUUGAUGGAUUUUCCUAUUGGAAACUUCUAUUUUUCAUUCACAAAUCCAUCUUUUUUUAUGCUACUAACUCUCAGUUUGGUCCUACUUUUCUUUUAUUUUGUUACUAAAAAAAUGAAAAAGAAUAUUUCUUCCAUAUCCAUAAUUAAUGGAUAUUUCAAGUAGAAGAGCUCACCUAUUGUUUCACAUUUGAAUUUCUCUUACAUUCUACGUUCCCGAAAUGGAUCCUAUCAAAUAUUUCACAUUUUCUAUGAUUAUCUCUAUUUCAGGUAUUCGGGGAAUCCUCCUUAAUAGACGAAAUAUUCCUAUUAUGUCAAUGCCAAUUGAAUCAAUGUUAUUAGCUGUGAAUUCGAACUUUUUGGUAUUUUCUGUUUCUUCGGAUGAUAUGAUGGGUCAAUCAUUUGCUUCAUUGGUUCCAACGGUGGCAGCUGCGGAAUCUGCUAUUGGGUUAGCUAUUUUCGUUAUUACUUUCCGAGUCCGAGGGACUAUUGCUGUAGAAUCUAUUAAUAGCAUUCAAGGUUAAAGAUGACUCCUAGAGAGUUACCAAAAUACGAAGUUCUCUUCUCCUUUCUUUCUCUUCUUUCUUUUUGAUACUUGGUUGGCAGGGUCAGGGCCUUUCUCGCUGGGCGAGCGCAUCCGAUUCUAAAGUCCUUUCUUAUUCUUAAACCACUUCCCGUUCAGUUGCUGAAAGAUAGAGAUCAGGCUUUCUAAAUGAGAUUGAGUUCCACGAAUAUGCAGGCUAGAAAGAUGCUAUUUGCUGCUAUUCUAUCUAUUUGUGCAUCAAGUUCGAAGAAGAUCUCAAUUUAUAAUGAAGAAAUGAUAGUAGCUCUAUGUUUUAUAGGCUUUAUCAUAUUCAGUCGGAAGAGUUUAGGUAAUACUUUCAAAGUGACUCUCGACGGGAGAAUCCAGGCUAUUCAGGAAGAAUCGCAGCAAUUCCCCAAUCCUAACGAAGUAGUUCCUCCGGAAUCCAAUGAACAACAACGAUUACUUAGGAUCAGCUUGCGAAUUUGUGGCACCGUAGUAGAAUCAUUACCAAUGGCACGCUGUGCGCCUAAGUGCGAAAAGACAGUGCAAGCUUUGUUAUGCCGAAACCUAAAUGUUAAGUCAGCAACACUUCCAAAUGCCACUUCUUCCCGUCGCAUCCGUCUUCAGGACGAUAUAGCCAUAAAGAUGCACGUCUUAGUGGGGAAAAGAUUUUGCCCCCGGUGUAGCUCGAAAGCAGAAAGAGUAGAAUUCAUUCGAGAGAGCUUGGUGGUCUUAAGAAUGGUUCGGGUGGGGGAUUCUCUUAAGAAUAAAGAAUUAGAAUAGAAUCUAAUUCAUGUUCAUGUUAACAGAAGAGCGGAUCCAAUACCAAGACGCUUGAGAGAAAGGGCUAGCCUUGUAU
Molecule: long non-coding RNA, 3842 nt
Filed under: Solanum lycopersicum (tomato)
Lineage: Eukaryota; Viridiplantae; Streptophyta; Magnoliopsida; Solanales; Solanaceae
Source: RNAcentral